AGAAUCAACGCUGGCGGCGUGCCUAACACAUGCAAGUCGAACGAGAAAGGGUAGCAAUACCUGAGUAAAGUGGCGCACGGGUGAGUAACACGUGACUAACCUACCCUGGAGUGGGGGAUAACUGAGGGAACCUUAGCUAAUACCGCAUAACACCUACGGGUCAAAGGAGCAAUUCGCUUCAGGAGGGGUCGCGGCCGAUUAGUUAGUUGGCGGGGUAAUGGCCCACCAAGACAGUGAUCGGUA
This 243-nucleotide ribosomal RNA is filed under the name uncultured bacterium. RNAcentral's name for it is "partial small subunit ribosomal RNA". It matches the Rfam family "Bacterial small subunit ribosomal RNA", at positions 26 to 285 of the family's 1533-position model. The record is from RNAcentral.